RNAcentral lists this ribosomal RNA (460 nucleotides) under uncultured bacterium. RNAcentral's name for it is "partial 16S ribosomal RNA". It matches the Rfam family "Bacterial small subunit ribosomal RNA", at positions 338 to 795 of the family's 1533-position model. The record is from RNAcentral.
CCUACGGGUGGCAGCAGUGAGGAAUAUUGGUCAAUGGGCGCAAGCCUGAACCAGCCAAGUAGCGUGAAGGAAGAAUGCCCUACGGAUUGUAAACUUCUUUUAUCAAGGAAUAAAGUGAGCCACGUGUGGCUUUUGGAGAGUACUUGAAGAAUAAGCAUCGGCUAACUCCGUGCCAGCAGCCGCGGUAAUACGGAGGAUCCGAGCGUUAUCCGGAUUUAUUGGGUUUAAAGGGAGCGUAGAUGGGUUGUUAAGUCAGUUGUGAAAGUCUGCGGCUCAACCGUAAAAUUGCAAUUGAUACUGGCAGUCUUGAGUACAGUUGAGGUAGGCGGAAUUCGUGGUGUAGCGGUGAAAUGCUUAGAUAUCACGAAGAACUCCGAUUGCGAAGGCAGCUUACUAAACUGCCACUGACAUUGAUGCUCGAAAGUGUGGGUAUCAAACAGGAUUAGAUACCCGUGUAGUC